Mus musculus (house mouse) is the source of this 4935-nucleotide long non-coding RNA. RefSeq annotates it as predicted gene 15541. NCBI's taxonomy places the organism in Eukaryota, Metazoa, Chordata, Mammalia, Rodentia, Muridae. The transcript is spliced from 3 exons. The record is from RefSeq and is a predicted model, not a curated record.
CAGCUCCUGCGAGGGGCAGCAAGGGGUCGCCAUGGAGCUCCAAGACGGCAACUCGCCCAGAGCUCGCCAUGGCGUUCCUUCUCUAGGACCCGCGUUGUGGUUAAACAGCUCUCCUUUCCCGCUCGCUCUCUGGGAGGGUCGCGGUCCGAAAAGCAAGGGGCGGGGCGGGGCUGGAAGAAGAGGGGAUGAGUAGGCGGGGCAAGAUCAUGGGGCGGGACUAGAAGUGCCAAAUUAGGUGAUUUUGAGAAGCUUAUUAAUUUUCCAUUCUUUCUUCCUUUUCUUCCUUUUUUUUCAUUUUAUUUUUGAGACAGGGACUCCUGUAGCCCAGAACGUCCUAGAAAUCCUCCUUCAGAGAUCCUCCUUAAAGUACUGGGACUAAAGUCAUAAGACAAAAUGCCAAUUCCAAUAUCCAUAUUUUAAAGACCAAAUGGGGCUUUAAUAACUACACAACAAGCCUAGGGAUUUAACCCAGUGGUAGAAGUCUUGCAUAGCACGCACGAGGUUCUGAGUUCUGUUCCCAACAUGAAACUAAACAAACCAAAAUAUAAAAUAUUCAGCUUGAUAAUAGUUAUUCCUACAGGACAAAGGCAUGCCUCUAAUAAAGGGAGACACCCUUAAGCCAUGCGGGAUGGAAGAAUGGGGUCUUGCCCUCUGUGGGCUUGAAUAUGUGUAAGAAUGCUGUUGUGAACUCUUAACUCCAAGACAUGCAUAACUCCCCCGGGAAAAGGAAUCCAAUGAAGGGGGGGGGGGUGCGUGGGUAAUGAAUGGUGACCGCAGCAGAACUGGCAUUCAUGGUAUUUGCUGGCCCUGGCUCUGAAACACGCUAGAGGGUUCACAUCUGCUUCCCAGAAGGGGAAGCGAGAGGUCUGAUUCUGUCUAGGAAACCACAAGAUUUUGCGGAGCACCUUGCACUUCUGGGCCUGUUGCUGUACUGCAAAGUUGGGUGGUGUGAAAGGAAAGUCUGGUUGUGAACUGAAACCUGACCAAGCAUGGAUGGACCUGGGAGAAUGCAAGGCACUGCGACCAGCCAGGAGAGGGAAAAUCAGGCCUAGACUAGAUGCCCUACUGCAGUGGGACUAGAGCAGGAGAAUAUGAAACAUUAGUUGGGGGGGGGGGAGCUUCUUGGAACAGUAGGGUCCUUCCACUCCCCUUUGGACAGCAUCUUGUGUCUCCCCGUGUUUUUUUGGGAAGUCACAGGAAGGCAGUAACUCCUAGGAAUUUAAAGUGACUUACUUAAUGCCUCAAAGCACAUUAACAGCCAAGUCUUGUCUUAGGUAUUCCACCCCAGGACUCUAUAGGCCGUGACCCCAUUGCCUGUCACCCUCAGCCUUAAUGAGGCUCCUUUGUAAGUAGAGCCACCCAGCCUGGUACUCAGUAGAAGAGGUUAAAACUGCUAACAUCGAAUCUGAAAGCAGUGGCAGUGACUGAAGGUGAUCUCUUGGUACCAGACUAUGCAGUAGUCCAAAAAAUGAACCAUCGGAGUUCCCAGAGAUGGGGACCAUCACCCCACCUCACCAGUGGGGAAGCUGGGGCUCCAAGAAGUUAGGUCACCUGCUUAGGGCUGUACAUAAAGCAGGAAAGGACUGGAUUUGCCUUGUGGGUCCCUACGUCCUCUACAGUGACUUUGUACUUUGUCAGCUCUUAUCUGUAGUGGGGUGUUUUGACUCAGGGUCUUACUCUGUAUUUCAGGUUGGCCUCUAACUCACAGUAGUCCCCCUGCCUCAGCCUCCUGAGUACAAGUGCUAGGAUCAUAAGCAUGUAUCCAUGCUUGGUUAUAACUAGUCUCUUCUGAUAAAAUAUUUCUGUUGAAUUUUUUGGUUUUGUUUUUGUUUUUCAAGACAGGGUCUCAAGGCACUGGCUGUCUGUCCUGAAGCUCACUGUGAAGACCCUGAACUCACUGAUCCACCUGCCUCUGCUUCCCAAGAGCUAGGAUUAAAAGCCUGUGCUAUCACACCCAGCUUCCAGAAGAUUGCACUCAGGUCAUCAGACUUGGCAGCAAGCACCUGUACCCACUGAGCCCAUCUGCUGGCCCCUCUGCUGGGUUUCGUCAUCGUCAUCAUCGUCAUCGUCGUCAUCAUCACCAUCACCAUCAUCAUCCUCAUAAUCGAGGGCUGACUCCAAGAUCUUGUGCAUAUUAGGCUUCCAGGUGGGGAUACCAAGGCCCAGAGAAGCCGGGACAUGCCUUCUUGGCACCCUAACCUGUGGACACCCACCUCAGCGCUGCGGCUCCUGGCCUCCAUAGCUCUGCAGAGAGUCACCUGGGGGCUCGAGCUCCCGUGUCCUCUCCUCCUUCUGCUGCAGGACCACCUUCAGCUCCUCAUGGAGCAGCUGCCGCUGAGCCUGGGGGUAUAAGAUGGAGGCCUGAGGCAAGGAGGGAUUGUCGGGUAGAGAUGGGGCUUGCCAGAGAGGUCGAGUGCAGGGAUGGCAUCAGGCGGGCGGAGAGUAGGGCCCCUCACCGCUUCUUGAGUGAUGGCCUUUUCUCCUGACAGGAGCCCCACUCGGGGUGAUGCACAGCUGUAAGCAGGAAUCUCACUCUUCCUUUGAGGUCUUGCUGCCUGCCAAGGAGAGAGAGACAAGGGGCGUGGGACAUCAGACAGACCCAGGGAAGAUAGAGAGGGGCAUGCGGAACCAGCCAGCUCUCACCUGAGGGUCACUUCCAGCUUCCUGGGCCUCCUGGGUCUGGGGCUCUAGGAAGAACAACACACACAGUAGUAUUAUCUCAUAUCCCCUGUGCUCGUUCUGACGAUUCUUUGUGCUCAAGUGCCUUACGGUUAUUUCCCAGGCCAGCCUGGAUAGCCUCCGUAGUGAGACACUGCCUCAAAAGCCUGAAUGCCGAGCCAGGAACGCUUGCCCGGUAGUACACACUGGCAGUCCCAUCAUGUCUGGUUUGUUCUGUGCUAGUGAGUCAAUCCCAGGGUUUUGCGCAUGCGAAGCUACCAUUUUACCACCUGAGCUACAUUCCUAGGCCUCGCUUUGAGUUUGAGACAGGGUCUUUGAACACAUUAGCCUCAAAUUCUCUAGGUAGCUGAAGAUGACUUUGAGCUAUUGCCCUCCUCCCACCCCAUUUCAGCCUCCCAAAUACCGGGGUCACAGGCAAAUGUCACCGUCUUUAGUUUACCAGACAGCUACUUUACUGAAAAUAUGCCGUCUCAGAGAAGCCAAGCAAAUUUGUACCGGUGUGGCACACAACCCAAGAAGAAGGCACAGAGAAGGCAGCCUCCAGCCGGGCCCUCCUGGUGACAUGGAGGAGGUGACUGUCUCUGAGCUUGGCCCCCACCUGGCAUGCCAGCCCGCCAACCCCUGCCACACAGGAAAAGGUCAGGCUCAUGCGGCACAUUCCCUCACACAAUGGCCAGUCUGCUGUGCCAGUCACAUUCUGCCCCUGCCCACCCGCCCACCCACCCACUGCCAUACAAUGGCCCUUCAUAGCUCGGCCCUGGAGCAAAGGAGAUCAGUCAGUAGAGUGCUUGCCUAGCAUGCACAAAGGCCCUGGGGUCAGUUCUCCAGAAUUUCCUAAACCAGGCAUGGUGGCACACAACGAUAAUCCCAGUAUUUUUUUUUUUUUUUUAAAGAUUUAUUUAUUUAUUAUAUGUAAGUACACUGUAGCUGUCUUCAGACACUCCAGAAGAGGGCGUCAGAUCUUGUUACAGAUGGUUAUGAGCCACCAUGUGGUUGCUGGGAUUUGAACUCCUGACCUUCGGGAGAGCAGUCGGGUGCUCUUACCCACUGAGCCAUCUCACCAGCCCGAUAAUCCCAGUAUUUGGCAGGUAGAGACAGGAAGAUGAAACAAUUCAAGGUCAUUCUUAGCUCCCUAGGCCAACCACAUGAAAUGGGUCUAUGCAACACAACAAACUUAGGUCACAAUUGGCUGAACUAGACAACCCUCUGGACGCAUCCACACAUGCUGUAAUCACACCCCCUCAAGCCCACCACUGGCCCCCAGUAUCUGAAAGCUCCUGUCAGCAACUCCUAGGAAUCCCAGAUUCUGUCUCUAAGCCCAGCCUCCCUUGUGAACCCUUUCGGCUCCUGCACACAAGCUGAACACCUCUCCUAAGAUGGCUUCCCUGUGAACCAGGCCCUGGCACAGGGACAGAGAUCAAGGCUUGGUGAGAAGUUUCCUGUCCAGAGUCACAAAGCCAGGAUGAGGCAGAGUAAAGACCUAUGCCCUUGGCCUCUACUCUACACCUAACUAAUUUGCGGAGCUGCUGGGGAGAGUUGAGGUGAGCAAGAGGAGUCAAGCUGAAUAAAUUCCAGAGGACCUUGUCGGUGCCAGGCCUGGCCGCGGGACACUAUUUUGCUGACAAGUAAAGGAAAGUUAAAGACAGACUGUCGUAAACUGGGUGUGGCCGGAGACUCCUGUAAUCAAAUAGGAUUAUGAGUUAAAAUGUAGCCUGAGCUACAUGAGACCCUGUCUCAAAAAUACUGAAAAAAUACUGGAAGGCAGGAAGAUUUAUGGUUUAUGUCCAGCAACAUGUUCUGGCUUCAUCCUGAACAUGACCAUCUCAAAAAAAAAAAAAAAAGAAAGAAAGAAAGAAAGAAAGAAAGGAAGGAAGGAAGGAAGGAAGGAAGGAAGAAAGAAAGAAAGAAAGAAAGAAAGAAAGAAAGAAAGAAAGAAAGAAAGAAAGAAAGAAAGAAAGAAAGAAAGAGAAAGAAAAGGAAAGGAAAGGAAAGGAAAGGAAAGGAAAGGAAAGGAAAGGAAAGGAAAGGAAAGGAAAGGAAAGGAAAGGAAAGGAAAGGAAAGGAAAAAUUUACAAAAACAACAAAAGGAGUGGGGACCUGAGAGAUGGCUCAGCGGUUAAGAGUGCUGGCUGCUCUUCCAAGGGACCUUGGGUUCAAUUCCCAGCAUCCAUACGAUAGCUCAAAACUGUUUGUACUAGGGGAUCUGGCAUCUUCAAACAUACAUGUAGGCAAAACAUUAAUGCACAUAAAAUAAAA